GACGAACGCUGGCGGCGUGCCUAAUACAUGCAAGUAGAACGCUGAAGGAGGAGCUUGCUUCUCUGGAUGAGUUGCGAACGGGUGAGUAACGCGUAGGUAACCUGCCUGGUAGCGGGGGAUAACUAUUGGAAACGAUAGCUAAUACCGCAUAAUAGUAGAUGUUGCAUGACAUUUGCUUAAAAGGUGCAAUUGCAUCACUACCAGAUGGACCUGCGUUGUAUUAGCUAGUUGGUGGGGUAACGGCUCACCAAGGCGACGAUACAUAGCCGACCUGAGAGGGGGAUCGGCCACACUGGGACUGAGACACGGCCCAGAAUCCUACGGGAAGCAGCAGGAGGGAAUCUUCGGCAAUGGACGGAAGUCUGACCGAGCCACGCCGCGUGAGGGAAGAAGGUUUUCGGAUCGUAAAGCUCUGUUGUAAGAGAAGAACGAGUGUGAGAGUGGAAAGUUCACACUGUGACGGUAUCUUACCAGAAAGGGACGGCUAACUACGUG
Molecule: ribosomal RNA, 495 nt
Filed under: uncultured bacterium
Lineage: Bacteria
Description: partial 16S ribosomal RNA
Rfam family: Bacterial small subunit ribosomal RNA
Source: RNAcentral